GGGCUUGUAGCUCAGUGGUAGAGCAUUCGACUGCAGAUCGGAUUGUCCCGGGUUCAAAUCCCGGCGAGCCCU
Transfer RNA from Nematocida parisii ERTm3, 72 nucleotides. It matches the Rfam family "tRNA". From Rfam's summary of the family: Transfer RNA (tRNA) molecules are approximately 80 nucleotides in length. NCBI's taxonomy places the organism in Eukaryota, Fungi, Microsporidia. The record is from Rfam.